RNAcentral lists this ribosomal RNA (457 nucleotides) under uncultured bacterium. RNAcentral describes it as "bacterial SSU rRNA". It matches the Rfam family "Bacterial small subunit ribosomal RNA", at positions 28 to 507 of the family's 1533-position model. The record is from RNAcentral.
GAUGAACGCUGGCGGCGUGCCUAAUACAUGCAAGUCGAACGGAAGGUAGCAAUACCUUUAGUGGCGAACGGGUGAGUAACGCGUUGGUGACCUGCCCCGAAGCGUGGGAUAACAGUCCGAAAGGAUUGCUAAUACCGCAUGUGGUCCAAGAGAUUAGAGGCUUAUGGACUAAAGGAGACAUUCACUUCGGGAGGGGCCUGCGUCCCAUCAGCUAGUUGGUAGGGUAACGGCCUACCAAGGCGAUGACGGGUAGGGGACCUGAGAGGGUGGCCCCCCACAAUGGAACUGAAACACGGUCCAUACACCUACGGGUGGCAGCAGUAGGGAAUAUUGCAAAAUGGGCGCAAGCCCGAUGCAGCAACGCCGCGUGGGCGAUGAAGGCCUUCGGGUCGUAAAGCCCUUUUUGAGGGGAUGAGGAAGGACAGUACCCUCAGAAUAAGCCUCGGCUAACUACGUG